Molecule: ribosomal RNA, 695 nt
Filed under: Glomeromycotina sp. OTU17 DJMC-2012
Lineage: Eukaryota; Fungi; Glomeromycota
Description: eukaryotic LSU rRNA
Rfam family: Eukaryotic large subunit ribosomal RNA
Source: RNAcentral
AAAGAAACUACCAAGGAUUCCCCUAGUAACGGCGAGUGANGCGGGAACAGCUCAAAUUUUAAAUCUGGCUGCUUCGCAGUCCGAGUUGUAAUUUGAAGGCGUCUGUCGCAUGUGAGACGAUGGCACAAGUCCUCUGGAACGUGGCAUCGUAGAGGGUGAGAAUCCCGUCUCUGGUCGUUGUCUUGCAGGCACACGGCAGGCGAUCCGAAGAGUCGAGUUGUUUGGGAUUGCAGCUCCAAAUGGGUGGUAAACUCCAUCUAAGGCUAAAUAUUGGCGAGAGACCGAUAGCGAACAAGUACCGUGAGGGAAAGAUGAAAAGAACUUUGAAAAGAGAGUAAAACAGUACGUGAAAUUGUUGAAAGGGAAACGCUUGAAGUCAGUCGUGCCGGCGGGGAUUCAGCGAACUUCGCGGAGUGAGCGUAUUUCCUCGCAUGGCAGGUCAGCGUCAGUUUUGCGCGUCGUGAAAGGGCUCGGGUAAGGUGACUCUCUUCGGGGAGUGUUAUAGGCCUGAGCAGAUGCGAUGCGCGGGACUGAGGAUUGCAGCGGACACCCUUCGGGGCGCGGCGACCGAUCCCUGCUCUGUCACCUUCGUCCGAUAGCGUGCUAACGGUCGGGGGAGCGGCGGUUGCACCGGGUUGGCAAGCCGGCGGCUNCGCNAAGGAUGCUGGCGUAAUGGCUUUAAACGACCCGUCUUG